This is a long non-coding RNA of Girardinichthys multiradiatus, 160 nucleotides long. RefSeq lists it as uncharacterized. The record is from RefSeq and is a predicted model, not a curated record. Lineage: Eukaryota; Metazoa; Chordata; Actinopteri; Cyprinodontiformes; Goodeidae. The transcript has 3 exons.
UCUACAUUUAUGCAGUUAAAAUAAAGACUAAAGACAUGAAGCUGAGCUGAUUGAAGAAAGAAGUCUCUGAGUGGAGGAACCAGAGUUCUCCAGAUUCCUCCAUCACUGAUUCCUCACUGCUUAUUGAAUGAAGAAAUCUCACCAGAACCAGAUGUUGUCU